ACUCCUACGGGAGGCAGCAGUGGGAAUCUUAGACAAUGGGGGAAACCCUGAUCUAGCCAUGCCGCGUGAGUGACGAAGGCCCUAGGGUCGUAAAGCUCUUUCGCUGGGGAAGAUAAUGACUGUACCCAGUAAAGAAACCCCGGCUAACUCCGUGCCAGCAGCCGCGGUAAUACGGAGGGGUUAGCGUUGUUCGGAAUUACUGGGCGUAAAGCGCGCGUAGCGGACUAUUAAGUCAGAGGUGAAAUCCCGGGGCUCAACCCCGGAACUGCCUUUGAUACUGGUAGUCUUGAGUUCGAGAGAGGUGAGUGGAAUUGCGAGUGUAGAGGUGAAAUUCGUAGAUAUUCGCAGGAACACCAGUGGCGAAGGCGGCUCACUGGCUCGAUACUGACGCUGAGGUGCGAAAGUGUGGGGAGCAAACAGGAUUAGAUACCCUGGUAGGCUCUGC
RNAcentral lists this ribosomal RNA (445 nucleotides) under uncultured bacterium. RNAcentral's name for it is "bacterial SSU rRNA". It matches the Rfam family "Bacterial small subunit ribosomal RNA", at positions 335 to 800 of the family's 1533-position model. The record is from RNAcentral.